This 229-nucleotide ribosomal RNA is filed under the name uncultured bacterium. Its description in RNAcentral is "partial 16S ribosomal RNA". It matches the Rfam family "Bacterial small subunit ribosomal RNA", at positions 568 to 796 of the family's 1533-position model. The record is from RNAcentral.
UGCGCAGGCGGCUUAUUAAGUCAGUGGUGAAAUCUCUCGGCUCAACCGAGAAACUGCCAUUGAAACUGAUAAGCUUGAGUGUGGUUGUGGUAGGCGGAAUAUAGCAUGUAGCGGUGAAAUGCUUAGAUAUGCUAUAGAACACCGAUCGCGAAGGCAGCUUACCAAGCCAUUACUGACGCUCAUGCACGAAAGCGUGGGUAGCGAACAGGAUUAGAUACCCUGGUAGUCC